AGCGAACGUUUGCGGCGGGCUUAACACAUGCAAGUCGAACGAGAAUCCCUUCGGGGAGGAAAGUGGCGCACGGGUGCGUAACACGUGGAUAACCAACCCAUUGGUUUGGGACAACACCGGGAAACUGGUGCUAAUACCAGAUGUGUCGCAGCUGUCUUCAGGCGGUUGCGAGAAAGGCCCGCAAGGGUCGCCAACGGACGGGUCCGCGUCCCAUCAGCUAGUUGGUGAGGUAAUGGCUCACCAAGGCAAAGACGGGUAGCUGGUCUGAGAGGAUGAUCAGCCACACUGGAACUGAGACACGGUCCAGACUCCUACGGGAGGCAGCAGUGGGGAAUAUUGCGCAAUGGGCGAAAGCCUGACGCAGCCACGCCGCGUGAGCGAUGAAGGUCUUCGGAUCGUAAAGCUCUGUGGGGGAGAAGAAGAAAGACGGUCGAAGAGCCGGCCCGUCGACGGUA
Molecule: ribosomal RNA, 455 nt
Filed under: uncultured bacterium
Lineage: Bacteria
Description: bacterial SSU rRNA
Rfam family: Bacterial small subunit ribosomal RNA
Source: RNAcentral